This 429-nucleotide ribosomal RNA is filed under the name Chloroflexota bacterium. RNAcentral's name for it is "Chloroflexi bacterium partial 16S ribosomal RNA". It matches the Rfam family "Bacterial small subunit ribosomal RNA", at positions 355 to 776 of the family's 1533-position model. The record is from RNAcentral. Lineage: Bacteria; Bacillati; Chloroflexota.
UGGGGAAUAUUGCACAAUGGGCGCAAGCCUGAUGCAGCCAUGCCGCGUGUGUGAAGAAGGCCUUCGGGUUGUAAAGCACUUUCAGCGGGGAGGAAGGCGAUAAGGUUAAUAACCUUGUCGAUUGACGUUACCCGCAGAAGAAGCACCGGCUAACUCCGUGCCAGCAGCCGCGGUAAUACGGAGGGUGCAAGCGUUAAUCGGAAUUACUGGGCGUAAAGCGCACGAAGGCGGUCUGUCAAGUCGGAUGUGAAAUCCCCGGGCUCAACCUGGGAACUGCAUUCGAAACUGGCAGGCUAGAGUCUUGUAGAGGGGGGUAGAAUUCCAGGUGUAGCGGUGAAAUGCGUAGAGAUCUGGAGGAAUACCGGUGGCGAAGGCGGCCCCCUGGACAAAGACUGACGCUCAGGUGCGAAAGCGUGGGGAGCAAACAGG